UACGUAGGGGGCAAGCGUUGUCCGGAUUUAUUGGGCGUAAAGAGCGUGUAGGCGGCCUGACAGGUCUGCUGUGAAAACUCGAGGCUCAACCUCGAGAUGUCGGCGGAAACCGUCUGGCUAGAGUCCGGAAGAGGAGAGUGGAAUUCCUGGUGUAGCGGUGAAAUGCGCAGAUAUCAGGAAGAACACCUAUGGCGAAGGCAGCUCGCUGGGACGGUACUGACACUGAGACGCGAAAGCGUGGGGAGCAAACAGG
RNAcentral lists this ribosomal RNA (253 nucleotides) under uncultured bacterium. RNAcentral's name for it is "partial 16S ribosomal RNA". It matches the Rfam family "Bacterial small subunit ribosomal RNA", at positions 524 to 776 of the family's 1533-position model. The record is from RNAcentral.